CCUACGGGAGGCAGCAGUGGGGAAUAUUGCACAAUGGGGGAAACCCUGAUGCAGCGCCGCCGCGUGAGUGAAGAAGUAAUUCGUUAUGUAAAGCUCUAUCAGCAGGGAAGAAAAUGACGGUACCUGAGUAAGAAGCCCCGGCUAACUACGUGCCAGCAGCCGCGGUAAUACGUAGGUGGCCAGCGUUAUCCGGAUUUACUGGGUGUAACGGGGGCGUAGACGGCAGUGCAAGUCUGGAGUGAAAGGCGGGGGCUCAACCCCCGGACUGCUCUGGAAACUGUACGGCUGGAGGGCAGGAGAGGGAAGUGGAAUUCCUAGUGUAGCGGUGAAAUGCGUAGAUAUUAGGAGGAACACCAGUGGCGAAGGCGGCUUACUGGACUGUAACUGACGUUGAGGCUCGAAAGCGUGGGGAGCAAACAGGAUUAGAUACCCGGGUAGUC
This 440-nucleotide ribosomal RNA is filed under the name uncultured bacterium. RNAcentral's name for it is "partial 16S ribosomal RNA". It matches the Rfam family "Bacterial small subunit ribosomal RNA", at positions 338 to 795 of the family's 1533-position model. The record is from RNAcentral.